UGGGGAAUAUUGGACAAUGGGCGGAAGCCUGAUCCAGCAACGCCGCGUGAAGGAUGACGGCCUUCGGGUUGUAAACCUCUUUCAGUACCGACGAAGCGCCGGUAAUGGUGGUGACGGUAGGUACAGAAGAAGCACCGGCCAACUACGUGCCAGCAGCCGCGGUAAUACGUAGGGUGCGAGCGUUGUCCGGAAUUAUUGGGCGUAAAGGGCUCGUAGGCGGUUUGUCGCGUCGGGAGUGAAAACACCGGGCUUAACUCGGUGCUUGCUUUCGAUACGGGCAGACUAGAGGCAUGCAGGGGAGAACGGAAUUCCUGGUGUAGCGGUGAAAUGCGCGGAUAUCAGGAGGAACACCGGUGGCGAAGGCGGUUCUCUGGGCAUGUCCUGACGCUGAGGAGCGAAAGUGUGGGGAGCGAA
RNAcentral lists this ribosomal RNA (414 nucleotides) under uncultured bacterium. Its description in RNAcentral is "bacterial SSU rRNA". It matches the Rfam family "Bacterial small subunit ribosomal RNA", at positions 355 to 772 of the family's 1533-position model. The record is from RNAcentral.